Molecule: RNA transcript, 3122 nt
Organism: Halichondria panicea
Lineage: Eukaryota; Metazoa; Porifera; Demospongiae; Suberitida; Halichondriidae
Exons: 8
Source: RefSeq, a predicted model, not a curated record
UCAUAAUUAUAUACACAGUACUGCUGUCAAGCACACAAUCAAGUUGGGGCGUCACCAACUUGCCCUCGAUUGGUAGGAAGUCAUGAAUUUGUAUAAAAAGUCUCACAGUAUAUCUCUCCAGGGUGUCAUACAGGGAAAUAAGAAAAGUAACCAGAAAAUGUUGUUAAAAAAAGUUCAACUGUUAUUUCAAUACCCAGCUAUGGACACUCAGUCAUCAUUGAAAGGGGGGGAAAAUUGGAGCGAGGGGGGAUAUCCUCCUUUCCCCCCCUGUAUGACACCCUGCUCUCUGUUUCCAUACAUAGUCUAAUAAAGGUCGCGUGUAGCUCUAAGGUCAGUGUGUAAGGUCAAGUUUUUUAGCUUUAUUCGCUGUCACUCUUAAAACUAAUAACUUGUUGUGUGUAUGGAGGCUUUAUCCGAAUAGCCGCGGUUAUGAUUUCAUACGUAGUGCCGCCCACCGCGGAACCAUUUUUACAAGUAUACUUCCAGUUUUCAGCCCUUAGCAAAAAAAGGUGCGUAGCUUCGAAACCGUAGCAGUUUUCUUUGGGCAACUUUGCAGCUAGCUAGUCUACAGUAGCUACUCUAUCAGGAUCUCCUGGACUCCAACGGAAUUGUCAACCAGCUAAGGCCACAGCGAAGGAUCCUUUUAGAGCAUUCUCCUCGUGCAAAGAAAGAUGCAACUAACUUUUAGGCAACUGCCUAGCAUUCUCUGUCGGGAUCUCCUGGUUUGGAACGGACGGCCACAGCACUUCAUAGAUAAGCUUUGUGGCUGUGUAUUAAACUGCUAGUACGCUUACUCUACAUAAUAGAUAGCUUGUAAAGUAGUAAAUGUACACUGGUUACGUGUUACAGUCAGUACUAAGUAUUUCUACUCAUGUUCAACAGGCAGGAUAAAAACUCAUAGGAGUUGACGCUUUAUACAACUACACAGAGAAAAGAGGUAUCAGCACAGUGUGCUGUUUUCAGUACCAAAUAAGGGCAUGCAGUACAACAGAUGUGCAGCUGCAGCUGCAUAGCAACAAAGAUUUUUUUUGCUGUUCUUGCAAAGAAGAAAAGAAGUUGAGUUUAGACAUGGUUUGAGAGCUGUUUGACAAAACUGUGGAACUAGCAUUCUCCUCGUGCAAAGAAAGAUGCAACUAACUUUUAGGCAACUGCCUAGCAUUCUCUGUCGGGAUCUCCUGGUUUGGAACGGACGGCCACAGCACUUCAUAGAUGGCAACGACCUCUGCGUACAUCCUGGUGGUGAAGAGGGAAGUGAGCUAUUCCUAGCGAUUUCAAGGGUGUCUUGCUCUUUUUGGAGCAGUAGUCGCCAAUUAGCUUCUUGGCCAACUCGUGACGAAAUGAGAGGAGGGUUUUCAGUGCGUUGGGCAUCUGUAGUACCCUCUGAGCUGAUCCCCUCUGUCGACACCCCCUAUGAAGCGAUUAUAGUCCUCGAUGCUCUGUGGGCACGGGACGGAGAUUUUUUCGCCUGUCUUGACUGUACGUUGUACAGAGAUGACCGAAGUGGCGUCAGAGGCUGUGGAGAUCACACAGACAACCCUAUUGUCGCUGAGACCGUCACCUUUUUCUUUCUGGAGAGUCAUGUAUUCCCCCCUGAAAAGGUAAAUAAUUAUAAUUUUUUAUUAUGCUUAUUACUUUCUGUCAGCUUUGGCUGCUUGAGAGCCUUGGGGAAGCCUCUGCGGUCAGCGCGAGCUGUACCACAAGCAUAAAUGCCAUCCUUCUCCAAGUCUUCUAACAGUUUGACAGACGUGAAAUAGUUGUCAAAAUAGACGUGGUGGUGCUUGCAUGUGCUUCAACGAGGCUGUGAGGUCUUUCACAACUCGUGCUCCCAGUUGCUUCUCUGGUGUGGCUUCUCUCCCUGUAUACACUUGUAGCAUGUGGAAGUACCCGUCUGCUAGGACCCAAACCUUGAUUCCUCUCUUCACAGGUUUAUUUGGGAGGUACUGUUUCAGUGCAGAUCUACCCUGAAACUUUAUCAUUGCCUCGUCUACUGCAACUUCACGGCCUAAGUUGUAUGCAGCAGAACAGCGCUCGUUGAUCUUAUUGAAGAGGGGGCGUACUUUGGCCAAACGAUCGCUACCUGGGGUGCCUGGAGUCGGGAGAGUGGUGUUGUCCGUGAAAUGGAGGUAUCGUCGGAUGUCCCUAAAGCGAUUGCGUGAGAUCUUCGAUGCAAUUGUGGUAAAGAAAUGCUGGUAAGGGAGAACUUGAGAUGGAUACAGCUGGGCCUACAGAUUGGAUGAAGGCCUCUCGAGAAUGGUCAUUGUGGGAGUCCAAGGGCAGGUUUCAGCACGGACUCACAGUCACUGCAGCAGGCUCUCUGUUACCUGCACUGUCAGGGGAUUGUUCACAAUGACCUGAGACUGCUGGGUCAUGGCAUCAUUAAGAGGUCAGUACAUAGUUACAUGGGCAUGACCUCUGUUAUCUGAAAUACUGAGGUCAGAGGUCAUGAGUAUGUUUAUUGCUUUUGGGCCUAAAUUUUAUAUUUUUUUGAAGAAAGAGCAAGGAUAUAGAGUGUCAUACAGGGGGGAUAUCCCCCCUGCAUUCAUGCAGGUACUAGUUGGGGUCCAUAGCUGGCAAUUUUACAUACUAACAGCUAUAGGGUAUUGAAGUAACAGUUGACCUUUUUUUUUAGCUAGUUACAUUUCAACAAUCAUUUCCCACUAUAAUUAUACGUACGGUAAUCGUCUAAUUUCAUGCUAAAGAAUGUAUGUGCCUUUUGAUGGAGGAAUCAAUGAUUGAUUUUAGUAUACGUAGCUAUACCCACAUUGUAUUAUUAUAUACAGCUAAAAUCCUUAUCACACCCACACACCCCACCCCACCCACCCACCCACACACACACACCCACACACCACCCACACAUACCACACCCACAGGCACAAGGCAGACUAGUGUCCUCCUGGUGAAGCUACACCUUCAACUGUAUGAGAUGUACACACAAGAACACAAUCUGCUUGACUUCGAUCAAGAGUGUACUAACUUUAAUUUAUUAGCUUACUAGUGACCUACGUAUAUAUCACAACCAUUAUUUCCAUUUCUUUCAUGCAUGUUUGUUCACUGCAUUUCUUGAUAAUUAUAAUCAUGAUGACUAAUGGUGACUAUUUUGGUCACUAUUAUUAUACCGUAAA